Molecule: ribosomal RNA, 496 nt
Filed under: uncultured bacterium
Lineage: Bacteria
Description: partial 16S ribosomal RNA
Rfam family: Bacterial small subunit ribosomal RNA
Source: RNAcentral
AUGAACGCUGGCGGCGUGCCUAAUACAUGCAAGUCGAGCGAACGGACGAGAAGCUUGCUUCUCUGAUGUUAGCGGCGGACGGGUGAGUAACACGUGGAUAACCUACCUAUAAGACUGGGAUAACUUCGGGAAACCGGAGCUAAUACCGGAUGAUAUUUUGAACCGCAUGGUUCAAAAGUGAAAGACGGUCCUGCUGUCACUUAUAGAUGGAUCCGCGCUGCAUUAGCUAGUUGGUAAGGUAACGGCUUACCAAGGCAACGAUGCAUAGCCGACCUGAGAGGGUGAUCGGCCACACUGGAACUGAGACACGGUCCAGACUCCUACGGGAGGCAGCAGUAGGGAAUCUUCCGCAAUGGGCGAAAGCCUGACGGAGCAACGCCGCGUGAGUGAUGAAGGUCUUCGGAUCGUAAAACUCUGUUAUUAGGGAAGAACAUAUGUGUAAGUAACUGUGCACAUCUUGACGGUACCUAAUCAGAAAGCCACGGCUAACUACGUG